Molecule: ribosomal RNA, 438 nt
Filed under: uncultured bacterium
Lineage: Bacteria
Description: bacterial SSU rRNA
Rfam family: Bacterial small subunit ribosomal RNA
Source: RNAcentral
CCUACGGGAUGCAGCAGUGGGGAAUCUUGGACAAUGGGCGCAAGCCUGAUCCAGCCAUGCCGCGUGAGUGAAGAAGGCCUUAGGGUCGUAAAGCUCUUUCACCGGUGAAGAUAAUGACGGUAACCGGAGAAGAAGCCCCGGCUAACUUCGUGCCAGCAGCCGCGGUAAUACGAAGGGGGCUAGCGUUGUUCGGAAUUACUGGGCGUAAAGCGCGCAGGCGGAUAGAUAAGUCAGAGGUGAAAUCCCGGGGCUCAACCCCGGAAUUGCCUUUGAUACUGUUUAUCUUGAGUGCAGAAGAGGUAAGUGGAAUUCCGAGUGUAGAGGUGAAAUUCGUAGAUAUUCGGAGGAACACCAGUGGCGAAGGCGGCUUACUGGUCUGCAACUGACGCUGAGGCGCGAAAGCGUGGGGAGCAAACAGGAUUAGAUACCCGCGUAGUC